Molecule: transfer RNA, 75 nt
Filed under: bacterium
Lineage: Bacteria
Description: tRNA-Thr
Rfam family: tRNA
About the family: Transfer RNA (tRNA) molecules are approximately 80 nucleotides in length. Their secondary structure includes four short double-helical elements and three loops (D, anti-codon, and T loops).
Source: RNAcentral
GCCGGCGUAGCUCAGAGGCAGAGCGCCACUUUUGUAAAGUGGAUGUCGUGGGUUCAAAUCCCUCCGCCGGCUCCA